CGGGUGAGUAACACGUGGGUGAUCUGCCCCGCACUUCGGGAUAAGCCCGGGAAACUGGGUCUAAUACCGGAUAGGACCACACUUUAGUGUGUGUGGUGGAAAGAUUUAUCGGUGUGGGAUGAGCCCGCGGCCUAUCAGCUUGUUGGUGGGGUAAUGGCCCACCAAGGCGUCGACGGGUAGCCGGCCUGAGAGGGUGGACGGCCACAUUGGGACUGAGAUACGGCCCAGACUCCUACGGGAGGCAGCAGUGGGGAAUAUUGCACAAUGGGCGCAAGCCUGAUGCAGCGACGCCGCGUGGGGGAUGACGGCCUUCGGGUUGUAAACCUCUUUCGCCAGGGACGAAGCGCAAGUGACGGUACCUGGAUAAGAAGCACCGGCUAACUACGUGCCAGCAGCCGCGGUAAUACGUAGGGUGCGAGCGUUGUCCGGAAUUACUGGGCGUAAAGAGCUCGUAGGUGGUUUGUCACGUCGUCUGUGAAAUUCCGGGGCUCAACCCCGGGCGUGCAGGCGAUACGGGCAUAACUUGAGUGCUGUAGGGGAGACCGGAAUUCCUGGUGUAGCGGUGAAAUGCGCAGAUAUCAGGAGGAACACCGAUGGCGAAGGCAGGUCUCUGGGCAGUAACUGACGCUGAGGAGCGAAAGCAUGGGUAGCGAACAGGAUUAGAUACCCUGGUAGUCCAUGCCGUAAACG
RNAcentral lists this ribosomal RNA (690 nucleotides) under Corynebacterium sp. PE-R2A-10. RNAcentral's name for it is "bacterial SSU rRNA". It matches the Rfam family "Bacterial small subunit ribosomal RNA", at positions 103 to 808 of the family's 1533-position model. Lineage: Bacteria; Bacillati; Actinomycetota; Actinomycetes; Mycobacteriales; Corynebacteriaceae. The record is from RNAcentral.